ACUAUAGUCCGACUUUGUGAAAUGACUUGAGAGGUGUAGUAUAAGUGGGAGCCGAAAGGCGAAAGUAAAAUACCACUAUUUUUAACGUUAUUUUACUUAUUCCGUGAAUAGGAAGCGAUACACUGCCCCUCUUUUUCGACCCAAGGCUUGCUUGCAGGCCAAUCCGAACGAAAGACAUUGUUAGGUGGGUAGUUUGGCUGGGGCGGCAC
This is a ribosomal RNA of Nicotiana attenuata, 209 nucleotides long. It matches the Rfam family "Archaeal large subunit ribosomal RNA", at positions 2180 to 2351 of the family's 2987-position model. The record is from Rfam. Lineage: Eukaryota; Viridiplantae; Streptophyta; Magnoliopsida; Solanales; Solanaceae.